GGGCUGGUUGACUGCGCAGGGAUUAUGACCCGCGAACAAGUUUAUCCACCGCUGAAGGUGCCCCGUGCGCCGGACGCGAGGCCCCGCGGGGGGCUACGAAUUCCGCUGAGGCAACGAAACAAAACCCCGGCGCGGAAGGCGCCAAGGAAAAGGAACGUCCGAGCGAGAACCCGGCUUUCCCCCGGGGAGACGGGCGGGGUUUGACGGGGGGGUCUCCUUUUGGAAUCAAAAAGACUUUUGGCAACGGGAUUUCUCGCUCUGGCAUCGAUAAAAAAGGUAGCAAAAGGCGAUCUUGGGGGUGAAUGGCAGAACCCCGGGAACCACCGAUUUUUUGAACGCAGGUUGCGCCCAAAGCCUUUUGGUCGAGGGCACGUCUGCCUGGGUGUCACGCAACGCCCUUCCUUCACUCCCUCCCAAGGGGAAGGUGAUUUCGGAGCGAACAGGCCUCCGGGGCCUCUUGACCGCGGCUGGCCUAAACACGAGACAUGUCGCCAGGGGCGGGCAUCGGUGGUUGAAAACCUCAAGCCCCCGUUAACUUGGCCGACCACGGGUUCUCUACACCCUCUGUCCAUCGACGCGACCCAGGCAGGCGGGAUUACCCGCUGAGUUAAGCAUAUCAUAGGCGGAGAAG
RNAcentral lists this ribosomal RNA (631 nucleotides) under Emblica scabrifolia. RNAcentral describes it as "eukaryotic LSU rRNA". The stretch from base 233 to 388 matches the Rfam family "5.8S ribosomal RNA". Lineage: Eukaryota; Viridiplantae; Streptophyta; Magnoliopsida; Malpighiales; Phyllanthaceae. The record is from RNAcentral.